CAGUAGCCGCGGUAAUACGUAGGGUGCAAGCGUUAAUCGGAAUUACUGGGCGUAAAGCGUGCGCAGGCGGUUAUAUAAGACAGAUGUGAAAUCCCCGGGCUCAACCUGGGAACUGCAUUUGUGACUGUAUAGCUAGAGUACGGCAGAGGGGGAUGGAAUUCCGCGUGUAGCAGUGAAAUGCGUAGAUAUGCGGAGGAACACCGAUGGCGAAGGCAAUCCCCUGGGCCUGUACUGACGCUCAUGCACGAAAGCGUGGGGAGCAAACAGGAUUAGAGACCCCAGUAGUCCCUGUCUCUUAUAA
This 301-nucleotide ribosomal RNA is filed under the name uncultured bacterium. Its description in RNAcentral is "partial 16S ribosomal RNA". It matches the Rfam family "Bacterial small subunit ribosomal RNA", at positions 509 to 809 of the family's 1533-position model. The record is from RNAcentral.